UUGUGCAGGUUAAGAAGCAUUUUUUCCUCUAGUUCAUUCUUCCUGUAAUUAAUGGCUAUCGAGUAAUAGUGCCUGUUCAAUCCAUGGAUCAGUGCCUGAAUGGAUGGUUUAUUCAGAUGCCCAAGAUUAGAAGUCGUCUGUCGUGGUUCUUGGCCAAGCAUCAUUGUUUGUGGGUUAAUCAAACGAAAAGCAUCAAUCACCACCUUCCCUUUAACACUCUGAAUUGGAUCCACCACAACUGCCAC
RNAcentral lists this unclassified non-coding RNA (245 nucleotides) under Hevea brasiliensis (rubber tree). The record is from RNAcentral. Lineage: Eukaryota; Viridiplantae; Streptophyta; Magnoliopsida; Malpighiales; Euphorbiaceae.